Molecule: ribosomal RNA, 350 nt
Filed under: uncultured Bacteroides sp.
Lineage: Bacteria; Pseudomonadati; Bacteroidota; Bacteroidia; Bacteroidales; Bacteroidaceae
Description: bacterial SSU rRNA
Rfam family: Bacterial small subunit ribosomal RNA
Source: RNAcentral
UGGUCUUAGCUUGCUAAGGCUGAUGGCGACCGGCGCACGGGUGAGUAACACGUAUCCAACCUGCCGUCUACUCUUGGCCAGCCUUCUGAAAGGAAGAUUAAUCCAGGAUGGGAUCAUGAGUUCACAUGUCCGCAUGAUUAAAGGUAUUUUCCGGUAGACGAUGGGGAUGCGUUCCAUUAGAUAGUAGGCGGGGUAACGGCCCACCUAGUCAACGAUGGAUAGGGGUUCUGAGAGGAAGGUCCCCCACAUUGGAACUGAGACACGGUCCAAACUCCUACGGGAGGCAGCAGUGAGGAAUAUUGGUCAAUGGGCGAUGGCCUGAACCAGCCAAGUAGCGUGAAGGAUGACGG